AGCAGUCGCCACGGUAAUACGUAGGUCCCGAGCGUUGUCCGGAAUUAUUGGGCGUAAAGGGCUCGCAGGCGGUUUCUUAAGUCUGAUGUGAAAGCCCCCGGCUCAACCGGGGAGGGUCAUUGGAAACUGGGAAACUUGAGUGCAGAAGAGGAGAGUGGAAUUCCACGUGUAGCGGUGAAAUGCGUAGAGAUGUGGAGGAACACCAAUGGCGAAGGCGACUCUCUGGUCAGUAACUGACGCUGAGGAGCGAAAGCGUGGGGAGCGAACAGGAUUAGAUACCCGCGUAGUCCCUGUCUCUUAUAC
This 303-nucleotide ribosomal RNA is filed under the name uncultured bacterium. Its description in RNAcentral is "partial 16S ribosomal RNA". It matches the Rfam family "Bacterial small subunit ribosomal RNA", at positions 507 to 807 of the family's 1533-position model. The record is from RNAcentral.